UAUUGUUUCUGGAGGAUCUAUUCUCUUCUACAUAAUAUAAUCAUUGAAAGUGUAAAGGAUGGAUCACAGGACUUUAUCUGUUUUUCGUCCUGUGGUUAUGUGUGGUAUUAAAUCAGUGUUUGCUAUGCCAUGAAGUUAGUUCUAUGAAUUUGGUGUUACUGAUCCAGAUGGUGAAUACCUGUGUUACUGUGUACACCUGUGUUACUAUGUAUAUCUGCGUUACUGUGUACAUCGGAUGGUGAAUACCUGUGUUACUGUGUACACCUGCAUUAUUGUGUAUAUCUGCGUUACUGUGAACAUCGGAAUAAAAGAAAAGGCAGUAAUUGCAGUCUGUCUCAAAACGUAUUUUGUUCUUCUGAAUGGGUAUUUGGUUUCAUCCACCAAGCCUCAGUGGUCGAAUCCAGGCUAAAUCAAUACUGAGGCUUCCCAAACCAUUACAGUAUGUUUAAUUGAGUAUAUCUUGUACAACUGAUUUUUUUAAGACACAAAAAGGGUUUUUGAUGGA
This is a long non-coding RNA of Anneissia japonica, 505 nucleotides long. RefSeq lists it as uncharacterized. The transcript is spliced from 4 exons. The record is from RefSeq and is a predicted model, not a curated record. NCBI's taxonomy places the organism in Eukaryota, Metazoa, Echinodermata, Crinoidea, Comatulida, Comatulidae.